This 810-nucleotide ribosomal RNA is filed under the name Psychrobacter sp. EST79TCBS. RNAcentral's name for it is "bacterial SSU rRNA". It matches the Rfam family "Bacterial small subunit ribosomal RNA", at positions 73 to 879 of the family's 1533-position model. RNAcentral also lists the same sequence under 2 other names. The record is from RNAcentral. Lineage: Bacteria; Pseudomonadati; Pseudomonadota; Gammaproteobacteria; Moraxellales; Moraxellaceae.
UGAUAGCUUGCUAUCAGGCGUCGAGCGGCGGACGGGUGAGUAAUACUUAGGAAUCUACCUAGUAGUGGGGGAUAGCACGGGGAAACUCGUAUUAAUACCGCAUACGACCUACGGGAGAAAGGGGGCAGUUUACUGCUCUCGCUAUUAGAUGAGCCUAAGUCGGAUUAGCUAGAUGGUGGGGUAAAGGCCUACCAUGGCGACGAUCUGUAGCUGGUCUGAGAGGAUGAUCAGCCACACCGGGACUGAGACACGGCCCGGACUCCUACGGGAGGCAGCAGUGGGGAAUAUUGGACAAUGGGGGAAACCCUGAUCCAGCCAUGCCGCGUGUGUGAAGAAGGCCUUUUGGUUGUAAAGCACUUUAAGCAGUGAAGAAGACUCCGUGGUUAAUACCCACGGACGAUGACAUUAGCUGCAGAAUAAGCACCGGCUAACUCUGUGCCAGCAGCCGCGGUAAUACAGAGGGUGCAAGCGUUAAUCGGAAUUACUGGGCGUAAAGGGAGCGUAGGUGGCUCUAUAAGUCAGAUGUGAAAUCCCCGGGCUUAACCUGGGAACUGCAUCUGAAACUGUAGAGCUAGAGUAUGUGAGAGGGAGGUAGAAUUUCAGGUGUAGCGGUGAAAUGCGUAGAGAUCUGAAGGAAUACCGAUGGCGAAGGCAGCCUCCUGGCAUAAUACUGACACUGAGGCUCGAAAGCGUGGGUAGCAAACAGGAUUAGAUACCCUGGUAGUCCACGCCGUAAACGAUGUCUACUAGUCGUUGGGUCCCUUGAGGACUUAGUGACGCAGCUAACGCAAUAAGUAGACCGCCUGGGGA